Molecule: ribosomal RNA, 397 nt
Filed under: uncultured bacterium
Lineage: Bacteria
Description: partial 16S ribosomal RNA
Rfam family: Bacterial small subunit ribosomal RNA
Source: RNAcentral
AUACGUAGGGGGCGAGCGUUGUCCGGAAUGAUUGGGCGUAAAGGGCGCGUAGGCGGCCCGGUAAGUCUGGAGUGAAAGUCCUGUUUUUAAGAUGGGAAUUGCUUUGGAUACUGUCGGGCUUGAGUGCAGGAGAGGUAAGUGGAAUUCCCAGUGUAGCGGUGAAAUGCGUAGAGAUUGGGAGGAACACCAGUGGCGAAGGCGACUUACUGGACUGUAACUGACGCUGAGGCGCGAAAGUGUGGGGAGCAAACAGGAUUAGAUACCCUGGUAGUCCACACUGUAAACGAUGAAUGCUAGGUGUAGGGGGUAUCGACCCCUUCUGUGCCGCAGUCAACACAAUAAGCAUUCCGCCUGGGGAGUACGGCCGCAAGGUUGAAACUCAAAGGAAUUGGCGGGA